Mobula hypostoma (lesser devil ray) is the source of this 622-nucleotide long non-coding RNA. RefSeq lists it as uncharacterized. The transcript is spliced from 3 exons. Lineage: Eukaryota; Metazoa; Chordata; Chondrichthyes; Myliobatiformes; Myliobatidae. The record is from RefSeq and is a predicted model, not a curated record.
UAAGGGGAACGGACAAGAGAUUCUGCAAGCCGGACAAGGAUACCUGGAUGGUGUGUUGCCUCCCUGGUGCCAAGGAAUGACUGAAACUGUUCUGCAACAAACUGUGGUUAAUUGUCACUGACUAAGUGUUCUGGAAAAGCAGUCCUUCAGAAGAGGCUUCUCAACACAUCAAAAGUGUGCGAGGCAGCAGUGAAGGCUAUCGGGAACACUUCUGGCCAUUUUGUAGCUGCAACCACUACUACAAAGAAAUAUGUGUUGAGCCUCCCUUAUCUAAAAUUCCAAAAUCCGAAAACCUCUGAAAAGCGAAAUUUUUAAGUGCUGACAUGACAUCACAAAUGGAAAAUUCCACAAGGCGCUGGGAAGAUUACCAAGUCAUACACCAGUCCCUGCUCGCAACAGGUAGUUCUGGAAAGUGACCUCAAAUGUAAUGAACAAUAGAAAGCCACUGUACAAAACGAGAAAUGAAGAUCUCAAUCGUCUAUUGAUAGAGUGGAUUUGUCUGUCAGCAUGAACAUGUGCCACCUAAGGUUACGUUGAUCAUGAAACAAGCAAAGAUCUAUCACGAUAAACUGAAAAUUGAAGGCAAAUGUGAAUAUUCAGCAGGCUGGUUGCAGAGGUUUAA